This 1152-nucleotide long non-coding RNA is filed under the name Oreochromis niloticus (Nile tilapia). Its description in RNAcentral is "lncRNA (ENSONIG00000029913.1)". Lineage: Eukaryota; Metazoa; Chordata; Actinopteri; Cichliformes; Cichlidae. The record is from RNAcentral.
GAAGUCAUACAGAUGGACCUAAAUAUGGAUAUCAACAUCGACAGCAAGAUGUACAGGUGAGUCCUCUUGUAACAUUCUUUAAUGUACUUCUAUUUUAUUAUUAAUUCCUGUACACUCUGAACCGAAUUUGUUGCAAAAUAAAGUCAAUCAUGUUCUCUUAUACGCACACACAACAGAACAGCAACCUCUACAUGGUGCGAAGCCUACUGCAACAAAAACGUGAUCUUAGUGUCUUUGCAACUCAGCACACUCUACCAGCAGCACUGACAGCUGAUAGAUAAGACUGCUGUCAUCCAUUGAAGAGCUGACCAGAAACGUGAACAGAAAGACUGCAGCUGCACCUGAUGGGAUCCCUGCCAUAACAGGUAAUUGUAUUUUUGUUUCUUACUUUAUAUUGUAACAUUUGAUAUUGAUAUUGUUUGAAACAAACUAAUCUCAUCCAUUCAUUAAGUCAUCCAUUCAUUCAUAACUCCUCAGAUGUCUUCUGUCCAGUGAAGGCAGUGGAGAAGCCCUACACUGAUGUUGAAACUGUGCCACUCUUCUAGAAACCGGCUACAAGGAUGGGCAGCCGUUUUCGCAAAGUCAGCCAACCUCUUGCUUCCAAAUGACCCUUAUCCAGAAGUAUCUGUGAGUGCCUCAUCAGCAGAAACUAAAGUGGAGAACUACCUCUCAGAGAAAAACGCACACAUAAGAAAAGCGACGCACUUCAGUACUGGAAAGAACAUCCUAAUCUGUUUCCCUCUAUGGCUGCUGUUGCGAUCCCAGUGUGCCCCCUGUAGCUCUGUGGACAGUUUUUGAUUUGUUUACAUCUCACCCAACCGGUCACGGUAGAUGGCUGCACCUCCCUGAGCCUGGUUCUGCCAGAGGUUUCUUCCUGUCAAAAGGGAGUUUUUCCCUUCCUACUGUCGCCAAAGUGCUUGCUCAUAGGGGGUCAUAUGAUUGUUGGGUUUAUCUAUAUACAUUAAUGCUUGUAUGCUUUUCAUUUAUACUUUUGCUUUACUCUUCAGUUCAUAAUAUAAAGUUACUUGAAUGGUUUCUUUUUCCUUUUUUUAUCUUAUAUUGCUUUGCUGUUUACCACAAUCUAAAUAUCAUGUUUAAAUGUAUUACAUUAUUGUCAAUGGUAUUUGUACAAAAUAUAGUUUGAAUAAGAUA